RNAcentral lists this ribosomal RNA (518 nucleotides) under Camelus dromedarius (Arabian camel). RNAcentral's name for it is "partial 16S ribosomal RNA". It matches the Rfam family "Bacterial large subunit ribosomal RNA", at positions 1838 to 2581 of the family's 2925-position model. Lineage: Eukaryota; Metazoa; Chordata; Mammalia; Artiodactyla; Camelidae. The record is from RNAcentral.
UACUAGUAUUAGAGGCACUGCCUGCCCAGUGACAUUAGUUAAACGGCCGCGGUAUCCUGACCGUGCAAAGGUAGCAUAAUCAUUUGUUCUCUAAAUAGGGACUUGUAUGAAUGGCCACACGAGGGUUCUACUGUCUCUUGCUUCCAAUCAGUGAAAUUGACCUCCCCGUGCAGAGGCGGGGAUACACAAAUAAGACGAGAAGACCCUAUGGAGCUUUAAUUAACUAACUCAAAGAAAAUAUAAAUAACCGCCAAGGGAUAAUAAUCUUCUACCUGAGUUAGCAAUUUCGGUUGGGGUGACCUCGGAGAACAGAAAAACCUCCGAGUGACUAAAAUCUAGAUUUACCAAUCAAAAUGUAGUGUCACUUAUUGAUCCAAAAUAUUUGAUCAACGGAACAAGUUACCCUAGGGAUAACAGCGCAAUCCUAUUCAAGAGUCCAUAUCGACAAUAGGGUUUACGACCUCGAUGUUGGAUCAGGACACCCCAAUGGUGCAGCCGCUAUUAAAGGUUCGUUUGUU